Molecule: non-coding RNA, 407 nt
Organism: Paramuricea clavata
Lineage: Eukaryota; Metazoa; Cnidaria; Anthozoa; Malacalcyonacea; Plexauridae
Source: the annotation of a GenBank genome assembly
AGUUCAAAACUUUCACUUUGGAAAUUUUAAAACAACAAAUAACAAUAAUUAAUUAGAUUUAUCAUUAUAAUUGCCAGGUGAACCUAUAGUAGUGACUAUGGUAACAUACAAAUAUCUUAAUUAUUCUACAGAAUAAUUCCAUGGAUGAUGUGUCAAUCUAGUAUGAACUAAUGUGCACAGAAUACAAAGUGUCAUUUGGCAAUGAUAUAAAUUGUUCCAAUGAUGCCAUUACUGUUGCCACCAAAAGUUGAUGAGAAACUGUUGAAAGUGGAACAUUGCCUACAACUCCAGAAAGAAUUUCAAUGGACGGUGCUGUAAACUAGAACUUGGACAUUGAAAGUUUAGACCAGGACAAUAGGCAAUUCCAGCUUUUAGUUUAUGCGUACAGGGGACGAUGGGAAGUAAGG